UGCAGUCGAGCGGUAGCACAGAGAGCUUGCUCUCGGGUGACGAGCGGCGGACGGGUGAGUAAUGUCUGGGAAACUGCCUGAUGGAGGGGGAUAACUACUGGAAACGGUAGCUAAUACCGCAUAACGUCGCAAGACCAAAGUGGGGGACCUUCGGGCCUCAUGCCAUCAGAUGUGCCCAGAUGGGAUUAGCUGGUAGGUGGGGUAACGGCUCACCUAGGCGACGAUCCCUAGCUGGUCUGAGAGGAUGACCAGCCACACUGGAACUGAGACACGGUCCAGACUCCUACGGGAGGCAGCAGUGGGGAAUAUUGCACAAUGGGCGCAAGCCUGAUGCAGCCAUGCCGCGUGUGUGAAGAAGGCCUUCGGGUUGUAAAGCACUUUCAGCGGGGAGGAAGGCGGUGAGGUUAAUAACCUCAUCGAUUGACGUUACCCGCAGAAGAAGCACCGGCUAACUCCGUGCCAGCAGCCGCGGUAAUACGGAGGGUGCAAGCGUUAAUCGGAAUUACUGGGCGUAAAGCGCACGCAGGCGGUCUGUCAAGUCGGAUGUGAAAUCCCCGGGCUCAACCUGGGAACUGCAUUCGAAACUGGCAGGCUAGAGUCUUGUAGAGGGGGGUAGAAUUCCAGGUGUAGCGGUGAAAUGCGUAGAGAUCUGGAGGAAUACCGGUGGCGAAGG
RNAcentral lists this ribosomal RNA (673 nucleotides) under bacterium StP2-27F. RNAcentral's name for it is "bacterial SSU rRNA". It matches the Rfam family "Bacterial small subunit ribosomal RNA", at positions 56 to 721 of the family's 1533-position model. The record is from RNAcentral.